CAGCAGCCGCGGUAAUACCGGCGGCCCGAGUGGCGGUCACUCUUAUUGGGCUUAAAGCGUCCGUAGCCGGGUUGGGAAGUCCUCCGGGAAAUCUGGCCGCUUAACGGUCAGAAUGCCGGAGGAUACUCCCAGCCUAGGGAGCGGGAGAGGCCGAGGGGAUUCCCGGGGUAGGGGGGAAAUCCUAUAAUCCCGGGAGGACCACCUGUGGCGAAGGCGCUCGGCUGGAACGCGUCCGACGGUGAGGGACGAAGGCCAGGGGAGCAAACCGGAUUAGAUACCCGGGUAGUCCUGGCUGUAAACGAUGCGGACUUUGUGUCGGACAAGCUAUGAGCUUGUCCGGUGCCGGAGGGAAACCGUUAAGUCCGCCGCCUGGGGAGUACGGCCGCAAGGCUGAAACUUAAAGGAAUUGGCGGG
RNAcentral lists this ribosomal RNA (414 nucleotides) under uncultured microorganism. RNAcentral describes it as "bacterial SSU rRNA". It matches the Rfam family "Archaeal small subunit ribosomal RNA", at positions 459 to 872 of the family's 1478-position model. The record is from RNAcentral.